RNAcentral lists this ribosomal RNA (254 nucleotides) under uncultured bacterium. RNAcentral describes it as "partial 16S ribosomal RNA". It matches the Rfam family "Bacterial small subunit ribosomal RNA", at positions 524 to 776 of the family's 1533-position model. The record is from RNAcentral.
CACGUAGGGUGCGAGCGUUGUCCGGAAUUAUUGGGCGUAAAGAGCUCGUAGGCGGUGUGUCGCGUCGGCCGUGAAAACCUGCAGCUUAACUGUGGGCUUGCGGUCGAUACGGGCAUCACUGGAGUUCGGCAGGGGAGACUGGAAUUCCUGGUGUAGCGGUGAAAUGCGCAGAUGUCAGGAGGAACACCGGUGGCGAAGGCGGGUCUCUGGGCCGAUACUGACGCUGAGGAGCGAAAGCGUGGGGAGCGAACAGG